GAGAGAGAGAGAGAGAGAGAGAGAGAGAGAGAGAAUGCCAGAUCCGCGAGCUGGCCUACAACGUGGAGGACUGCAUCGAGCUCCUCGUCCACGUCGACAAUGGGACGACCAGCUUCUGGCUCCGCCUCCGCCGGCUCUGCGUCCCCUGGGCGCGCCCGCCGGCGCUCGACCAGGCGCUCGACGAGAUGGAGCAGCUCAAGGCCAGGGUCGCCGACGUCAGCACCACCUGCUUGGUUCUGCAGACCUCACCGUAUAGUUGUUGUUCAGGUGCCUAGAGGUAUUGGGAAACUGACGGCGUUGCACACGCUUGGUGUUGUCAACACUCAACAUCUCUGCUUCCGGUGGGAAGGCCAUGGCCAAAGCUGCUCUCAAGAAGCUCACCCAGUUGCGCAAGCUCCGAGUGUCCGGCGUUAACAGGAAGAACAGCAAGGAUAUGUUCUCUGCAAUCAAGGGCCAUCUCCAUCUGGAAUCCGUUGUCUGUCCAGCCUGACCAUUUUAUAGGUGCGCAACUCCAGCUCAUUAUCUGUCAAGUUUGGUUCAGAGACGAUGAAAAGUCUUGAGCUGCUCAAGCUACUGGUAUAUAUAUUUAAUAGGAAAGCUAGCCAAUAUGUCCAGCCUUCUCUCACAUUGCUCAACGGUCCUUAACACCAUUGUGGUUUGAGUGGAAAACUGCUCAACUGUCCUUUUUCUCACAUUGCUGCCAAAAGUGCAAGGGAAAAAUGGAGACAACACUAAGAGGCUUCUCUGACGAGCACAAUGAUCUGAGUGGAAAAGAGUGAGAUUGUUGAAAAACAGUGCAUCUUAUCCCAAGCCAAGCAAGGUGGGUCAGGCAUGACUGGAAAGCUUGUAUGUUCUCCCUUGUUGGGAAGCCUUUUAGUACGUUCGGAUAAUGUUUUGUGUGAAAAAGAGCCAAAAUUUUGGCAGAACUGAUCAUUGCUUAGAUGGUUAGAAGGGUGGUUUUACCUUCUGCCUACCUAGGGUCAAAUACUAGACUUGGUGCUCUGUGUAUCUUACUAAUGCGGAUUAUUAUCUGUAUAGCAUCUCACAUGGUGUCAGUGUCGAUGUCCUUGCUAUAGUGUGGAAAUAUUUAGGAUCAUGUAGACAUGGAUUAUUGUUUUUUUUACUAUUGAUUAUUCUAUAUUUAGAGUGACGUGGACGUGGAUUAUUGUACUACAUUUUUUUAUUCACCCAGAAAGAGUCGAACACGGUGGGCAUGAGUCAAGUCAAUGCAUACUUUUCUACGCGGUAGGUGGGCAUCUCAUUGGGUUGGUGGUAUAUAUCCAACUGAGGCUAGCAGGAAGCGGUUCCUUCUCAGAAGCUUCAUCCCCGUUUCUCCUCUGCUCUCUUCACAACUGCUAGAGGAUCCCUCAAGAGUCCCAUCUUCACAAGGAGUCACAUCAACACUUCUUAAAUCAUCAGAAAUGGCUACUAGUGCUAGCGGAGGUAGAACUCAAGAGAACAAGCCGAGCAUUUUGAGCACAUUACCGAAGCAUCUGCCAUUAGACUUUCUGAAGAGUAUCACAGAUCAGUUCUCAGAGAAGCGUGUAAUUGGUGAAGGCGCUUUUGGAACUGUUUAUAAGGGAACAGCGCCAGAUGGGGAAACCAUUGCUGUGAAGAAACUUGCCGAAAACUCGCCCCUUCCACGAGAUAAAGCAUUUAAUAAUGAGGUUCAAAAUAUUAUGGCUCUCCAUCAUGAAAAUGUUGUAAAGUUGGUUGGUUACUGUCAUGAAAGUCAAAAGAAAGUGGUGCAGAACAAUGGAAGGUAUAUUGUUGCUGACAUUGUUGAAAGUGUACUCUGCUACGAAUAUUUACCAGGGGGAAGCCUUAAGAAGAAUCUUUUUGGAGAUACCAAAAUGGACUGGGACACACGAUUCAACAUAAUUAAGGGGAUCUGCGAGGGUUUACUCUUUGUACACAGCAUUCCUAUUGUCCAUAUGGAUCUUAAGCCCGAAAAUAUACUGCUGGAUAGUAACAUGGUACCGAAAAUAGCGGAUUUUGGUCUCUCGCGACUCUUCGGUCAAGAACAAACACGGAUGAACACACAAAAUGUAGUGGGGUCAUAUGGAUACAUUGCUCCAGAAUAUCUAUACAGAGGUGAAAUCUCCACAAAGUCAGACAUAUACAGUUUAGGUGUACUAAUCCUGGAGACCACCACAAGAGAGGAGAAUUGCCGCGGGAACAAACCAUCUGCAGAACAAUUUAUUAAAAAGGUACGUGAAAAUUGGACAGAGCAGCACAUCGUAUCAGAGUACCCAUCAUUAAAAGCAGAUAGCCUCCGACAAAUAAAAAAAUGCAUCGAAAUUGGACUGCAAUGUGUUGAGACUGAUCGGCAGAGGAGACCUUCCAUAGAAGCAAUUAUCAACCAGCUCAAUGGACGGCAUUCUAAUUGAGCUACGAUGCCGUACUGAUCUCCAGUCUCGAGGGAGAAUUAAGUUCGGGUCUUCUUCAGGAGACAUGUGCAAGAAGCAAAGGACAUGCUCGGCUGUUUGCCAAAUAAUUUGCUUCGAUAUCCAUGUUUUCUACUAGUGGAAGAGGACGACCCAUGAAGAGGCUGCACCGGUUCUGCGGCAACGUUGACCGCUACAAUUUCUUCACCGAGCUGGGGAAGAGAUAGACAUGUGGGUUAAUGGUGCUCGCUCAGGAUCCCCGCAGUGGCAUCUUGCAGAACUGCAGCGAGAGGGUGUCACACUUCAAUUCUUAUUCUAGCUAGCUCUCCUUCUCUGCUUGCGUUGGACUUGUUCUACAGCAGAGUAGAAUACAGUAGGGAGGGAGGCUAGAGGCUAGGGGAGAAUCUGGAGUGAGCUAGAGUGCCGUGCGUGCACUUUUAUCACGGGAAAGUUUGUCGCGGGUGGCAGUCGACACAGCCAGCGGGGGAGAAGUGCAAGCGGCGUCGGCCGGCCGUGACGGCGUCCAUUACCAAUGAUAUGGCAGAAUAAUGGCCCACCAAGACCGAUCGUGCGGCUGCGUCAAAACUCCGAACUUGAGCUAGCGGUGCCGUCGGCUGCUGAAUACUGUCGAGCACAAGGUCAAUAUGUACAGCUCUGAUUUUUUUUUUUUGCUGGAGUGAGCAUAGUUUUUUUUAGGGAAGAGUGAGCAUAGUUUUUCCGCGGUUAUAAUUGAAGUUCAACGA
Molecule: RNA transcript, 3130 nt
Organism: Triticum aestivum (bread wheat)
Lineage: Eukaryota; Viridiplantae; Streptophyta; Magnoliopsida; Poales; Poaceae
Gene name: cysteine-rich receptor-like protein kinase 37
Exons: 8
Source: RefSeq, a predicted model, not a curated record